RNAcentral lists this ribosomal RNA (1354 nucleotides) under uncultured bacterium. RNAcentral describes it as "bacterial SSU rRNA". It matches the Rfam family "Bacterial small subunit ribosomal RNA", at positions 28 to 1381 of the family's 1533-position model. The record is from RNAcentral.
AUUGAACGCUGGCGGCAUGCUUUACACAUGCAAGUCGAACGGUAACAGGUCUUCGGAUGCUGACGAGUGGCGAACGGGUGAGUAAUACAUCGGAACGUGCCUAGUAGUGGGGGAUAACUACUCGAAAGAGUAGCUAAUACCGCAUGAGAUCUACGGAUGAAAGCAGGGGACCUUCGGGCCUUGUGCUACUAGAGCGGCUGAUGGCAGAUUAGGUAGUUGGUGGGGUAAAGGCUUACCAAGCCUGCGAUCUGUAGCUGGUCUGAGAGGACGACCGGCCACACUGGGACUGAGACACGGCCCAGACUCCUACGGGAGGCAGCAGUGGGGAAUUUUGGACAAUGGGCGAAAGCCUGAUCCAGCAAUGCCGCGUGCAGGAUGAAGGCCCUCGGGUUGUAAACUGCUUUUGUACGGAACGAAAAGCCUGGGGCUAAUAUCCCCGGGUCAUGACGGUACCGUAAGAAUAAGCACCGGCUAACUACGUGCCAGCAGCCGCGGUAAUACGUAGGGUGCAAGCGUUAAUCGGAAUUACUGGGCGUAAAGCGUGCGCAGGCGGUUUUGUAAGACAGUGGUGAAAUCCCCGGGCUCAACCUGGGAACUGCCAUUGUGACUGCAAGGCUAGAGUGCGGCAGAGGGGGAUGGAAUUCCGCGUGUAGCAGUGAAAUGCGUAGAUAUGCGGAGGAACACCGAUGGCGAAGGCAAUCCCCUGGGCCUGCACUGACGCUCAUGCACGAAAGCGUGGGGAGCAAACAGGAUCAGAUACCCUGGUAGUCCACGCCCUAAACGAUGUCAACUGGUUGUUGGGUCUUAACUGACUCAGUAACGAAGCUAACGCGUGAAGUUGACCGCCUGGGGAGUACGGCCGCAAGGUUGAAACUCAAAGGAAUUGACAGGGACCCGCACAAGCGGUGGAUGAUGUGGUUUAAUUCGAUGCAACGCGAAAAACCUUACCCACCUUUGACAUGGCAGGAACUUACCAGAGAUGGUUUGGUGCUCGAAAGAGAACCUGCACACAGGUGCUGCAUGGCUGUCGUCAGCUCGUGUCGUGAGAUGUUGGGUUAAGUCCCGCAACGAGCGCAACCCUUGCCAUUAGUUGCUACAUUCAGUUGAGCACUCUAAUGGGACUGCCGGUGACAAACCGGAGGAAGGUGGGGAUGACGUCAAGUCCUCAUGGCCCUUAUAGGUGGGGCUACACACGUCAUACAAUGGCUGGUACAAAGGGUUGCCAACCCGCGAGGGGGAGCUAAUCCCAUAAAGCCAGUCGUAGUCCGGAUCGCAGUCUGCAACUCGACUGCGUGAAGUCGGAAUCGCUAGUAAUCGUGGAUCAGAAUGUCACGGUGAAUACGUUCCCGGGUCU